AUUGAACGCUGGCGGCAGGCCUAACACAUGCAAGUCGAACGGUAACAGGAAACAGCUUGCUGUUUCGCUGACGAGUGGCGGCCGGGUGAGUAAUGUCUGGGAAACUGCCUGAUGGAGGGGGAUAACUACUGGAAACGGUAGCUAAUACCGCAUAACGUCGCAAGACCAAAGAGGGGGACCUUCGGGCCUCUUGCCCUCGGAUGUGCCCAGAUGGGAUUAGCUAGUAGGUGGGGUAACGGCUCACCUAGGCGACGAUCCCUAGCUGGUCUGAGAGGAUGACCAGCCACACUGGAACUGAGACACGGUCCAGACUCCUACGGGAGGCAGCAGUGGGGAAUAUUGCACAAUGGGCGCAAGCCUGAUGCAGCCAUGCCGCGUGUAUGAAGAAGGCCUUCGGGUUGUAAAGUACUUUCAGCGGGGAGGAAGGGAGUAAAGUUAAUACCUUUACUCAUUGACGUUACCCGCAGAAGAAGCACCGGCUAACUCCGUG
Molecule: ribosomal RNA, 490 nt
Filed under: uncultured bacterium
Lineage: Bacteria
Description: partial 16S ribosomal RNA
Rfam family: Bacterial small subunit ribosomal RNA
Source: RNAcentral